RNAcentral lists this ribosomal RNA (349 nucleotides) under Oryza officinalis. Lineage: Eukaryota; Viridiplantae; Streptophyta; Magnoliopsida; Poales; Poaceae. The record is from RNAcentral.
GGAUGCGAUCAUACCAGCACUAAAGCACCGGAUCCCAUCAGAACUCCGGAGUUAAGCGUGCUUGGGCGAGAGUAGGCGUCAUCCCUCCUUUUCUGCCGUCCGCCUCCGCGCGUUUCCUUUUGCUGCACACGGAUGCUAUCUAAACCGUUGUAGGCGUCGGUUGUAACGUAAACAGCCACGUGGCUGCGCCUACGUCGGCCCCGAGUUUCUUUCGCGGCACGCUACCCCUCCUUGCGGGGCCUACAGAAGCGGCAAACGGUACGCUGGCCUGUGAGAAGGCGAAUGCCUGAGCCGUUCGCGGCUCCGGCGCGCGAGCGAGCACAAUAGUGGCGGGGGCGCAAGGCAUGUC